Polistes canadensis is the source of this 763-nucleotide long non-coding RNA. RefSeq lists it as uncharacterized. The transcript has 2 exons. NCBI's taxonomy places the organism in Eukaryota, Metazoa, Arthropoda, Insecta, Hymenoptera, Vespidae. The record is from RefSeq and is a predicted model, not a curated record.
GAAAAUGAGUAAUUUGUGUUAUAUGUUAUAUUCUAAUAUUACGUAUGACUAUUUGUAUAUUGUUUUAUAAUUUAAUUUUAUAUGUAAUCGCAUGCACAUAAUAUCUUGCGCACAACUCUUUGCGCACAACUCUGCGCACAUCACUUUGCGCACAACACUUUCCGCGCAACAUUUUGCGGGGAAUGUUUUUCUAUUUCACUUCAUUAAUUAACUGCUAUAUACAUAUAUACUAUAGUUAAACAAUGAACAUGUGAAUGCAUCAUACAGGAUAUGAGAAAAAAAUGAUUUCCAAGUAAGUUCUUUAUAGAAUAUUUUUUAUUUGCUCGGUUCCUGUUUUAUACAAAACAUCUAACAAACACAGAUGCUUGUCGCUGAAGUGCUUUUAAAGUUUUUCUUUUACGGAAGCAACUAAUCUAUCGACUUUGCAUUUAUCGAACGAAUCUUUUGUCACUUUUCUCGUUGGAUAUGCUAAAAAGAUAACUCGCGCUUGUUGAUUGUAUUUGUGUAUAUAAAUAUGUAUGUAGUAUAUGAGCGUGAGUGUGUUGUAUGCAUGUAUAUUUGUGAAGGAGUGUGAAUAUGUUUGUAUGUAAGUAUGUUGUAUAUAAGUAUGUUGUAUGUAAGUAUGUGUGUUUGUUGAUGUAAGUGUGAAUGCGCUUGUAUAUAUUAUAUAUAUGUUUUUAAAUGACGCAUUGAUCUUUCGUAAUCGUCGAUCUUAAAAGUUCGUAAUAAAACGUGGAAUUAAAUACUUUAACGCUAUGCAAAA